GGCGCUAUAGCCAAGUGGUUACGGCGACAGAUUAGAACUGGUUCGAGUUACAAGGCUCCAACCUGCUAUCUGUUCCUCUUUGAGGGCGCAGGUUCGAAUCCUGCUGGCGUCG
Fomitopsis pinicola is the source of this 112-nucleotide transfer RNA. It matches the Rfam family "tRNA". From Rfam's summary of the family: Transfer RNA (tRNA) molecules are approximately 80 nucleotides in length. Their secondary structure includes four short double-helical elements and three loops (D, anti-codon, and T loops). Lineage: Eukaryota; Fungi; Basidiomycota; Agaricomycetes; Polyporales; Fomitopsidaceae. The record is from Rfam.